RNAcentral lists this ribosomal RNA (384 nucleotides) under uncultured bacterium. RNAcentral's name for it is "bacterial SSU rRNA". It matches the Rfam family "Bacterial small subunit ribosomal RNA", at positions 355 to 756 of the family's 1533-position model. The record is from RNAcentral.
UAGGGAAUAUUAGGAAUGGGCGAAAGCCUGAACUAGCAACGCCGCGUGUGCGAAGAAGGCCUUCGGGUUGUAAAGCACUUUUUGAGAGGAUGAGGAAGGACGGUACUCUCAGAAUAAGUCUCGGCUAACUACGUGCCAGCAGCCGCGGUAACACGUAGGAGGCGAACGUUAUCCGGAUGUACUGGGCGUAAAGCGCGUGUAGGUGGUUUGGUAAGUAGGGCGUGAAAGCUCCUGGCUCAACUGGGAGAGGCCGUUCUAAACUGGCGAACUAGAGGAUGGUAGAGGGAGGUGGAAUUCCGCGUGUAGCGGUGGAAUGCGCAGAUAUCCGGAGGAACACCAGUGGCGAGAGCGGCCUCCUGGACCACUCCUGACACUCAGACGCGA